Small nucleolar RNA from Thalassophryne amazonica, 80 nucleotides. RefSeq annotates it as small nucleolar RNA SNORD53/SNORD92. The record is from RefSeq and is a predicted model, not a curated record. NCBI's taxonomy places the organism in Eukaryota, Metazoa, Chordata, Actinopteri, Batrachoidiformes, Batrachoididae. The transcript has a single exon.
GAGGAAUGAUGACAUAGAGAACGGUUUCGCACACUGGACUGAAGUCUUGUGAUGUUACUUUCUCUUGGCUGUCUGACCAA